Molecule: ribosomal RNA, 1228 nt
Filed under: Escherichia coli
Lineage: Bacteria; Pseudomonadati; Pseudomonadota; Gammaproteobacteria; Enterobacterales; Enterobacteriaceae
Description: partial 23S ribosomal RNA
Rfam family: Bacterial large subunit ribosomal RNA
Source: RNAcentral
GGUUAAGCGACUAAGCGUACACGGUGGAUGCCCUGGCAGUCAGAGGCGAUGAAGGACGUGCUAAUCUGCGAUAAGCGUCGGUAAGGUGAUAUGAACCGUUAUAACCGGCGAUUUCCGAAUGGGGAAACCCAGUGUGUUUCGACACACUAUCAUUAACUGAAUCCAUAGGUUAAUGAGGCGAACCGGGGGAACUGAAACAUCUAAGUACCCCGAGGAAAAGAAAUCAACCGAGAUUCCCCCAGUAGCGGCGAGCGAACGGGGAGGAGCCCAGAGCCUGAAUCAGUGUGUGUGUUAGUGGAAGCGUCUGGAAAGGCGCGCGAUACAGGGUGACAGCCCCGUACACAAAAAUGCACAUGCUGUGAGCUCGAUGAGUAGGGCGGGACACGUGGUAUCCUGUCUGAAUAUGGGGGGACCAUCCUCCAAGGCUAAAUACUCCUGACUGACCGAUAGUGAACCAGUACCGUGAGGGAAAGGCGAAAAGAACCCCGGCGAGGGGAGUGAAAAAGAACCUGAAACCGUGUACGUACAAGCAGUGGGAGCAUGCUUAGGCGUGUGACUGCGUACCUUUUGUAUAAUGGGUCAGCGACUUAUAUUCUGUAGCAAGGUUAACCGAAUAGGGGAGCCGAAGGGAAACCGAGUCUUAACUGGGCGUUAAGUUGCAGGGUAUAGACCCGAAACCCGGUGAUCUAGCCAUGGGCAGGUUGAAGGUUGGGUAACACUAACUGGAGGACCGAACCGACUAAUGUUGAAAAAUUAGCGGAUGACUUGUGGCUGGGGGUGAAAGGCCAAUCAAACCGGGAGAUAGCUGGUUCUCCCCGAAAGCUAUUUAGGUAGCGCCUCGUGAACUCAUCUCCGGGGGUAGAGCACUGUUUCGGCAAGGGGGUCAUCCCGACUUACCAACCCGAUGCAAACUGCGAAUACCGGAGAAUGUUAUCACGGGAGACACACGGCGGGUGCUAACGUCCGUCGUGAAGAGGGAAACAACCCAGACCGCCAGCUAAGGUCCCAAAGUCAUGGUUAAGUGGGAAACGAUGUGGGAAGGCCCAGACAGCCAGGAUGUUGGCUUAGAAGCAGCCAUCAUUUAAAGAAAGCGUAAUAGCUCACUGGUCGAGUCGGCCUGCGCGGAAGAUGUAACGGGGCUAAACCAUGCACCGAAGCUGCGGCAGCGACGCUUAUGCGUUGUUGGGUAGGGGAGCGUUCUGUAAGCCUGCGAAGGUGUGCUGUGAGG